RNAcentral lists this ribosomal RNA (496 nucleotides) under uncultured bacterium. RNAcentral's name for it is "partial 16S ribosomal RNA". It matches the Rfam family "Bacterial small subunit ribosomal RNA", at positions 29 to 507 of the family's 1533-position model. The record is from RNAcentral.
AUGAACGCUGGCGGCGUGCCUCAUACCUGCAAGUCGAGCGCACAGAUGAGGAGCUUGCUCCUCUGACGUUAGCGGCGGACGGGUGAGUAACACGUGGAUAACCUACCUAUAAGACUGGGAUAACUUCGGGAAACCGGAGCUAAUACCGGAUAAUAUAUUGAACCGCAUGGUUCAAUAGUGAAAGACGGUUUUGCUGUCACUUAUAGAUGGAUCCGCGCCGCAUUAGCUAGUUGGUAAGGUAACGGCUUACCAAGGCAACGAUGCGUAGCCGACCUGAGAGGGUGAUCGGCCACACUGGAACUGAGACACGGUCCAGACUCCUACGGGAGGCAGCAGUAGGGAAUCUUCCGCAAUGGGCGAAAGCCUGACGGAGCAACGCCGCGUGAGUGAUGAAGGUCUUCGGAUCGUAAAACUCUGUUAUUAGGGAAGAACAAAUGUGUAAGUAACUAUGCACGUCUUGACGGUACCUAAUCAGAAAGCCACGGCUAACUACGUG